Molecule: transfer RNA, 57 nt
Filed under: Heterocephalus glaber (naked mole-rat)
Lineage: Eukaryota; Metazoa; Chordata; Mammalia; Rodentia; Bathyergidae
Rfam family: tRNA
About the family: Transfer RNA (tRNA) molecules are approximately 80 nucleotides in length.
Source: Rfam by way of RNAcentral
UAGCUCAAUGGCAGAGCACUUGCUUAGCAUGCAGGAGGCCUUGGGAUUCAAUCCCAA